UCGUGACCGAUGGCUCCGGAUCAUCCCCAAACAUCCCUAAAACAUCUUCGGUUCAUUGUUUAGACUUCCUAACCCAUUUAUUCCGGGCCGUCCGAUUACGAUCGGAGGGACCGAAUAGCCCCUAAGCUAAUCCACCUGCUAUAUAACCAGACCAAACCCUAAAAUCUUGGGAGAUAUCUCAUCCAUCUCGUCUCGUCGCCGCCAGCCAACUACCCACUCUUCUCCCACCUCGGGAUCCAUCACUCACCAACCAUCGCUCGCCACCUACAGCCUCCAGAUCCCCUCGCCCUCCUCUCUGCUCGAGGCCCUUGCCGACGACAGGAGCUUCACCCCCACCGGCCAGCCUCCUCCACGCCACCAGAUCAGAGCCCCGUGCUCCCCACCACCUCAUCCUCGCAAGCACUGCCACCAGGGCGCCACCUCACUGGCCUCUAUCGCUCCUCCCGUGCGCCUGCACCAGACCUCGGCCCCGCGCCCUCGUCUGCUCCGUUGAGCCUCUCCACUGCCGGCGACCACCAGCACCUCCCAGAACUGCCCCGUGCCCGUGCUACCACAUACCCCUCGUCCAGGAGCUCCACGAGAAGAGGAGCUCCUCUUUGUUGUCCCAGCAGCAGUCGUGCCCCGCGCCCCUUGCUUCCCGCCGGCGAGCAUCAUCAUGCCCCGGUAGCGUGCCCCUGCCUCUUUCUCCAUCUUCCUCCCUCCCCUGAUCUCUCUUCCUCUCACAUCUAUCUCAUUUCUUUUUACGGCAGAGCCUCCAUGGAAGCUCGAGCUCCGCCUGGAGCAACUUGAAGGGUGCCGUCGUCGAGCCCCUACAUCACCUGAGCGACCCCGUCGAUCGGAUCCACCAGGUCGCCGUCCUGAUCCGCCUUCGCUGCACAGGCCGCCGUCGCCUGAGCUCCUGCAAGCCGCACUGCCUCCUUCUGACGGGGGCAGGCACAGGGAGUCGCCCCUGUUCGUUGACCUCCACUUCCGCGUGGGCCUCUCCAGCCGCAGCACCUCAAGGCCCAGCUCGCCCCGGCCCAGUGGCCACGCUGGUGAGCGCCCGCCUGCAAACCCUCGCCCCUGGGCGCUGUUGAAUAUGUCGCGCCCACUGUUUCAGCCCGUAAAGUUUUUUCCCAGUUCUGAGAAUUUAGCUAUUUAUCCAGAGAUUUGCCGAUUUGCAAAAAAGUCCUCCAUGUUCAUGCAUGUAAAAACUCAACAACCGUGCAUCGGAAUUAAACAUGGCGUAUAUGUAAAAUGCUUUGAAUUUCAUCUAGUUUCAUAAUAUGCAACUUUCAUCCAUGAUAAAAAUGUUUAAAAUAAUGUUUACAUUUGUCUUGCAUAAAUAACAUGCUAAAAUGGUUUAUUUCAUAACUAAAUAACCGUAGCUCCGAAUUAAGUAAACUAUAUAUGUAAAUUGUCUAGAAAAAUGCAUAGAUUAACAUGGUUGCAUUACUUUGCAUGUCUAACAACAAUAAAAGUGUGUUUAGAUCAGAACAGUACCAAAUUCGAAAAUUGCAUAUGGGGAUCUCUAGGAAUUGUUGUUUGUUAUUUCCGGCCUCAGUUAAACUUGCCUAAAUAGUUAGUUUACUUAUGCUUCACCUCUUGCCAUGUUAACCAACAUUUAAUUUUGAUUAGUAGCAUAAACGGGAGCGAACUAAAUAUUUGAAUGUGGUGUUUCAUCAAUAAGCAACUCGUUGCAUAUUGAGCUCCACUUAAUUUGUAGUAUUGUUUGUUGCACUUUGCGAUGCCAUAAUUCAUUAAAUCGUACAUGCAUCAUACUUGGUUGCACAUCAUGCCAUGUUUAUGCUUGUUGGUUAACCAUGUUGUUUGCUUCUUUCCGGUCGUGCUUCUACUCGAUAGUUUCGGUUACGUUGCGAUUGUGACGAUUUAUUCGACUACGUUGGUUCGUCUACUUCAUGGAUUCGGUCUUCUUCCUAGCGGGAUUUCAGGCAAGAUGAUCAUUAUCAUGGAUACCACUACUAUCUUUGCUUUGCUAGUUGUCUCGAUGUUAUCGCUAUGUGACGCUACCUACCACUUGUUUAUCAAGCCUCCCAAUAUGCCAUGAUAAGCCUCUAACCAUUUCCACCAUCCCAACAAACUGUUGUUUGGCUAUGUUCCGCUUUGCUCAGCCCCUCUUAUAGCGUUGAUAGUUGCAGGUGCAGUUUUAGGUUGUUCCAUGUUGGGACAUGGAUAUCAUGGGAUGUCAUAGUAUCUCUUAUUUUAAUUAAUGCAUCUAUAUACUUGGUAAAGGGUAUAAGGCUCGGCCUUUUGCCUGGUGUUUUAUUCCACUCUUGCUGCCCUAGUUUCUGUCAUACCGAUGUUAUGUUCCUUGAUUUUGCGUUCCUAACACGAUCGGGGUUUAUGGGCCCCCCUUGACAGUUCGCUUUGAAUAAAAAUCUUCCAGCAAGGCCCAACAUUGGUUUUACAUUUGCGUAAUAACAACUAAAACUGGCAUAGGGACUUCCCGGGCACUGAGGAUAAUUAAUCAACAACCCGUGCCAAUGCUCCUCAUGAGUGUUGGUCCAAACUGGCAGUAGCCGGGGCCACCAACGGGUGUACUAUAUUUCUCUCUCAAGUAUAUUGCUAGUCCCUCUUAUGUCACAAAUUAAUCUUGCAACGGCCACCUUUGGGAGAUCACGGCGUACAAAUUAGUGACUAUAAUAUACCAUGAAUUAUUAGCAACAAAAAUCAAUUUGCUCUAUAAAUAUUUGACCGUAAAAUGCUAGGCCACCUUGGUGACAAACAAGCAUGCUCUCCAAUAAAUAUUUAUUCGGCAAGAAUAUGAUCAUCUAUGGAACGCAAUGCCAUAAUGCGAGCAAUGAUCAAAAUUAAAGAAUGGCAACAAGUCUUGUUCCGUAGGAUGAGAAAAAGAAUAGAUCGACAGAAUAACGGAUCAAAAUCUCGACUUUAAUGUGAAUCAGAAGUGUUGCAACAACAAGGCUCUGAUACCAAAUGUAAGCGAAAAUUUCUUUAAAUGCGGAAGAUUAGCAAUACAAAUGAUUCAACAAAACAUGCAUGAGAUUUUUCCGUUCAUGAUCCGAGUGUACCUUGCUCCAUCACGAGACCUUUCGAAGUCGAUUCCACCGUUGUCGAACGUUCUUCUUUUCUCUACUUCUUUACUUCACAAGUUCCUCAGAUGGAUGAAGAACCAAACGUUUCAGCAUGUGUGUAUAUGCAUUCUUUACUUGUGUCGUCUAAAACGGCAGCGCUUCCGCGAGCACUAGAUGCAGAGAGCGUCACCAUAAUGAAGUACUGCGAUAAGGGCAGAGGCAACGUCCAUUUAUAUGAUUCGUACGGAUGCGUCGUCGCUUCGAACGGAUGCGUCGUUUGCUGAAGCCGUUUCCGUCCCAACUGUACACAUGCAAACGCAUGUUGUGAGACGCGUCUUCAACCAGUCGCAACCCAACGAAAGGACGUGGCCCCAUUCGCACAUGCAUGCUAAUUAGCCUUGUGCUAAUUACGCCACUGCCUCUGAUCCAUGUACCUGCACCUGAUUGGCUAAUUCAUGCACUCACGGAUAUAUUAAUCCAUGUACUUGCACCGGUACUUAGCCAUCACCAGGCACUUGACUGAAUAUAACAAAGCUAGCUAGCUUCAUAUACAUGUAUCCAUCUAGCUUUGACAUACACAUACACACACACCUAUACGUGUGUGAAACUUAUAGAGAGAGAUAAGAGGGAAUUAAAACCCAGACUUUAAUCUAUUAUUUCUAGCAACGAUCAUACUAGAACUCUUAAUUAAAAUCUCACUAUAAUUUACAUUGGCCACAUAAAAUAUUCUUACAUUUCCACCAUCCCAACAAACUGUUGUUUGGCUAUGUUACCGCUUUGCUCAGCCCCUCUUAUAGCGUUGAUAGUUGCAGGUGCAGUUUCAGGUUGUUCCAUGUUGGGACAUGGAUAUCAUGGGAUGUCAUAGUAUCUCUUAUUUUAAUUAAUGCAUCUAUAUACUUGGUAAAGGGUAUAAGGCUCGGCCUUUUGCCUGCUGUUUUAUUCCACUCUUGUCGCCCUAGUUUCUGUCAUACCGGUGUUAUGUUCCUUGAUUUUACGUUCCUAACACGAUCGGGGUUUAUGGGCCCCCCUUGACAGUUUGCUUUGAAUAAAACUCUUUCAGCAAGGCCCAACAUUGGUUUUACCAUUUGCGUAAUAACAACUAAAACUGGCAUAGGGACUUCCCGGGCACCGAGGAUAAUAAAUCAACAACCCGUGCCAAUGCUCCUCAUGAGUGUUGGUCCAAACUGGCAGUAGCCGAGGCCACCAACGGGUGUGCCAGCCAGAAAAUUAGCCAAUCCGACCGUGGCCUGAGACGAGAUACGCGCGGCUACUAUCAGGGUGUCAGCACGUCAGGAGGUCUUGCUGGUUUUGUUUUACCAUUGUCGAAAUUUCUUGUGAACCAGGAUUCCGAGCUUGAUUGGGUUGUUCCGGAAUGGAGGAUUUUCCUCCGCAGAUCAUGAGAGUUUGUGAUGGACUAAGUUGGGACACCCCUACAGGGUUUAAUCUUUUCGAGAGUCGUGCCCACGGUUAUGUGGCAGAUAGGAAUUGAUAAUAUUCGUUUAUAGAGAACUUGACACUAGAUCCAAAUUAAAAUACACCAACUGCGUGUGUAACUGUGACCGUCUCUUUCCAAGGGAGUUCGGGAAGAGAACAUGGUGGGGUUAUGAUUGACUCGUCAGUAGUUUAGGAUCACUUAUUGAUCAUUAAUAGUUGUGACCGUUAUGCGUAGAAACUCUUCUUACUCUUGUACUCGUAAGUUAGCCACCAUAUAAUGCUUAUUGCUUGCUGCAACCUCACCACUUAUCCAUUCCAUACCCAUUAAGGUUUGCUAGACUUGAUACCCAUGGUAAUGGGAUUGUUGAGUCCUCGUGGCUCACAGAUUACUACAACAACAGUUGCAGGUACAGGAAAUGCGAUGUUAUGACGUGAGAGCGAUGCUUGCUUGAUUUGGAGUUCUUGUGCUUCUUCUUCUUCGAUCAAGGGAUAGGUACUGGGUCGGGAGCCUGGGAUUAGCAGGGUGGAUGCCGUUCUUCUUUUUCGUUUAAUUUCAUCCGUAGUCGGAUCCUGCUCUUCUGUAUGAUGAUUGCUAUUUUUUGAUGUACUAUUGUAUUCAUGUUGUAGCUUGUGGUGAGUGUAAGCCUUUAUCUUGUAUUCUCAUCUAUUCAGUACAUGGUAUGUUGUAAUGAUAUCCACCUUGCUAUGAGCUCGAAAUGCGGUUGUGCCCCAAUCAUGAGUGCAUCAUGUGAUUGCGAUAGAAUCGCAUCUUGGGCGCUGCACCUAGCACACCCAGACCAAUUGCUUAGC
This 5276-nucleotide long non-coding RNA is filed under the name Triticum aestivum (bread wheat). RNAcentral describes it as "long non-coding RNA (TAES_LNC004426)". Lineage: Eukaryota; Viridiplantae; Streptophyta; Magnoliopsida; Poales; Poaceae. The record is from RNAcentral.